Molecule: ribosomal RNA, 641 nt
Filed under: Aliarcobacter skirrowii
Lineage: Bacteria; Pseudomonadati; Campylobacterota; Epsilonproteobacteria; Campylobacterales; Arcobacteraceae
Description: bacterial SSU rRNA
Rfam family: Bacterial small subunit ribosomal RNA
Source: RNAcentral
GGCGAUUUACUGGAACACAAUUGACGCUGAGAUGCGAAAGCGUGGGGAGCAAACAGGAUUAGAUACCCUGGUAGUCCACGCCCUAAACGAUGUACACUAGUUGUUGUGAGACUAGAUCUUGCAGUAAUGCAGUUAACACAUUAAGUGUACCGCCUGGGGAGUACGGUCGCAAGAUUAAAACUCAAAGGAAUAGACGGGGACCCGCACAAGCGGUGGAGCAUGUGGUUUAAUUCGACGAUACACGAAGAACCUUACCUGGACUUGACAUAGUAAGAACUUUCUAGAGAUAGAUUGGUGUCUGCUUGCAGAAACUUAUAUACAGGUGCUGCACGGCUGUCGUCAGCUCGUGUCGUGAGAUGUUGGGUUAAGUCCCGCAACGAGCGCAACCCUCGUGUUUAGUUGCUAACAGUUCGGCUGAGAACUCUAAACAGACUGCCUACGCAAGUAGGAGGAAGGUGAGGACGACGUCAAGUCAUCAUGGCCCUUACGUCCAGGGCUACACACGUGCUACAAUGGGAUAUACAAAGAGCGGCAAUACGGUGACGUGGAGCAAAUCUUAUAAAAUAUCUCCCAGUUCGGAUUGUAGUCUGCAACUCGACUACAUGAAGUUGGAAUCGCUAGUAAUCGUAGAUCAGCUAUGC